AUUGAACGCUGGCGGCAUGCUUUACACAUGCUAGUCGAACGGCAGCGCGGGCUUCGGCCUGGCGGCGAGUGGCGAACGGGUGAGUAAUGCAUCGGAACGUGCCCAGUAGUGGGGGAUAGCCCGGCGAAAGCCGGAUUAAUACCGCAUACGACCUGAGGGUGAAAGCGGGGGACCCAAAGGCCUCGCGCUAUUUGAGCUGCCGAUGUCGGAUUAGCUAGUUGGUUGGGUAAAGGCUUACCAAGGCGACGAUCCGUAGCUGGUCUGAGAGGACGACCAUCCACACUGGGACUGAGACACGGCACAGAAUACUACGGGAGGCAGCAGUGGGGAAUUUUGGACAAUGGGGGCAACCCUGAUCCAGUAAAGCCGCGUGCGGGAAGAAGGCCUUAGGGUUGUAAACCGCUUUUGUUCGGGAAGAAAUCCUCUGGGCUAAUACCCCGGGGGGAUGACGGUACCGGAAGAAUAAGCACGGGCUAAGUACGUG
Molecule: ribosomal RNA, 484 nt
Filed under: uncultured bacterium
Lineage: Bacteria
Description: partial 16S ribosomal RNA
Rfam family: Bacterial small subunit ribosomal RNA
Source: RNAcentral